This 253-nucleotide long non-coding RNA is filed under the name Homo sapiens (human). RNAcentral describes it as "non-protein coding lnc-PI4KA-1:1". Lineage: Eukaryota; Metazoa; Chordata; Mammalia; Primates; Hominidae. The record is from RNAcentral.
GGUGGCAGAGAAGGAGGCAGUCAAUAAGAUGUCCCUGCACAACCUUGCCACUGUCUUUGGCCCCAUGCUGCUCCGGCCCUCCGAGAAGGAGAGCAAGCUCCCUGCCAACCCCGGCCAGCCCAUCACCAUGACUGACAGCUGGUCCUUGGAGGUCAUGUCCCAGGUCGAGGUGCUGCUGUACUUCUUGCGGCUGGAGGCCGUCCCUGCCCCGGACAGCAAGGGACAGAGCAUCCUGUUCUCCACCGAUGUCUAA